AGAGAGAGAGAGAGAGAGAGAGAGAGAGAGAGAGAGAGAGAGAGAGAGGGGUUUAAGUAGAACACAGUGAGGGAUUGGUGAGUUAAUGGAGGAGGGGCGCUCUCGAAUUUGUAAAAGGGGUGAGUGAAUUACUGUGGAUGAAAAGCAGGGGAGAGAUUGGAACAGGGGUCACGAGAGAACAGCCAAUUGAGAGAGUAUUGAUUAGAGGAUGGACCCCUCC
Molecule: long non-coding RNA, 220 nt
Filed under: Amborella trichopoda
Lineage: Eukaryota; Viridiplantae; Streptophyta; Magnoliopsida; Amborellales; Amborellaceae
Description: long non-coding RNA (ATRI_LNC002881)
Source: RNAcentral